This 202-nucleotide long non-coding RNA is filed under the name Suricata suricatta (meerkat). RNAcentral describes it as "lncRNA (ENSSSUG00005002139.1)". The record is from RNAcentral. Lineage: Eukaryota; Metazoa; Chordata; Mammalia; Carnivora; Herpestidae.
UUCCUUGUUUUCCCUUUUUUUUUUUCAGGGUAAAAUGUUGGAAAGGGGAGUCCUGUGUCUAAGUAAAGAUGGAAAACAAGAGUGAGGUUGAUCGUGUUGUCUGGGAAGGAAGAGGGCUCUGACCCCUGCGUCCUGGAGCUCAGGAGACAUUUGGUUCUCUCCGUGGGUGUGGUGUGAAACUCUGCUCAAAGCCAAAGAUUGC